UAGAAGUAAAAUUACUCCCUUUAUUCUUAGAGUGUAGUCCUAUUGCAAUAAACAGGCUUGUUUCAUUACAUUUUCCUUUUGGGCUUAAAUUGCUCUGAAUGAACUCAGAACUGCAUUGAAAAUUGAGUCGAAUACCACCCUUCAAGAGCUGGUUAUAGUGGAUCAUGCUCCGUUUUAUAUACACAGCUGAGCUUAAAAUACCACAUUGGCUUCGGAAUAUUCUUACUUUAAGGGCAUGUGGACACCCGUGUCUGCUCCGAAAGGUACCUUUUCUGCUUCCAAGCAAAAUUUUGGUUGCUCCCAAGAGUGGCUCCAAAACGACUUUGGCCAAUCACAUCCCUGCGCGUCCCUAAUCAGGUCCACGUCGUCAUCCUUUACGUGCCAAGCUCUUACUUUUAAAGGUCAGAUAUGCCGAUUUUGAACUGCUGCAGAACUGAGCGAUACUCGCGCUGUGUGUUCGUUACCUAACACUGAAUAUGUAUGCGAAAUAUCUUGCUCCAACUGUUCGUAGUUUUUUAGAAAACAGUUUUUUUAGUUCCCAUGCCCAGCCGUCAGACCGUCGGCAAACCGUGCGCACAGGCGCACCGACGUCACUGCUCUCGGUUUAUCUGUCUUUGGCUUGGCAUGGACUCUUGGCUUGGCCGCUUGGCUUCUUUUGUUUCGUCCUCUGUGCAUCGUACAUAAGCGAACAGCUGUUAUGUUAUUGCUAAGCCGGAAACAAAGCAUGUGAAUAUUUUUUUUGGCACGGCGUCGUUUGGAAAGUGCACUUCCUUGUUCUGACCUUGCCUUUUAUGGGCUGGAGCGAUAUGCCACGGCGAAGUUGUCGAAGAUGCGACGGUGCUACGUGCUACGCUGUUAGAACAAUUCAUCGGAGCAUUCAAGUGUUACCUUUUAUAAGCUGCCAAAAGACCAAGCAGUGCGAAGCUCUUGGCUGACAGUGGUGCCUGCUAAUUUCAACUGCAAGGAUUUCGUCAACGAAUGUUAUCAUAGGUUACGCGCGACUCCAGAGGCAAUUUGGAAUAUCGGCACGAAAUCGUCGGAUGAAAAUCUGAGGUGCCCGACGCACAACAUUUUGAACGUGCCACGGAGGAUCAAGGCAAAAAAUGAGAGCAAAAAAGGUGCACGCUGAAGGCGGAAAUGAAGCAUGAUCUGGCUUGCAUCUGUGUACAUGAAGAAAUUGCUGGCACGUUAGUUGCAGUCUACCUCCACCAACAGGGUGGAAAACAAAGGUCGCCAUUCCGAUUAGCUGCUAUCUCCCAGUUCAAGCACUUUUGCUGUCUGGACACUGGUUCCUGUGGAUGGGCUGUUACAAGCUUCACUGUCUGAUAUAGAAGGUACGUUACAUUAGUUCAGUUAAUUUGUCUUUUGCACAUUUUCGUUACUGUUAGUUGGAUUACUGUUGGACAUACAAUCCUUUGACACACAGAAGCUGAUGUCGCCUCUGAUAACGUUUUAGAAUUUUCAGUGUCAUCAACGUCCAUUGAGGAAGGUGCCUUUACUAUCUGUGAACCUUUAAUUGGAGAAUAGCCCAGAAUUCAUGUUAACAUUGUCUACUCUUAUUAAUUCACUGUCUGUGUUCUGAGAGCUUAGAAAAAUCGAAACUAUUUAUUUGUCACAACUUCACACUGGAUGUGGUACUGGCUUGACAUGUAAGCUAAAAUACCUGGAUUCUA
This is a long non-coding RNA of Ornithodoros turicata, 1673 nucleotides long. RefSeq lists it as uncharacterized. The record is from RefSeq and is a predicted model, not a curated record. Lineage: Eukaryota; Metazoa; Arthropoda; Arachnida; Ixodida; Argasidae. The transcript is spliced from 3 exons.